UGGGGAAUAUUGGACAAUGGGCGAAAGCCUGAUCCAGCCAUGCCGCGUGUGUGAAGAAGGUCUUCGGAUUGUAAAGCACUUUAAGUUGGGAGGAAGGGCAGUAAGCGAAUACCUUGCUGUUUUGACGUUACCGACAGAAUAAGCACCGGCUAACUCUGUGCCAGCAGCCGCGGUAAUACAGAGGGUGCAAGCGUUAAUCGGAAUUACUGGGCGUAAAGCGCGCGUAGGUGGUUCGUUAAGUUGAAUGUGAAAGCCCCGGGCUCAACCUGGGAACUGCAUCCAAAACUGGCGGGCUAGAGUAGGGGAGAGGGUGGUGGAAUUUCCUGUGUAGCGGUGAAAUGCGUAGAUAUAGGAAGGAACACCAGUGGCGAAGGCGACCACCUGGGCUCAUACUGACACUGAGGUGCGAAAGCGUGGGGAGCAAACAGG
RNAcentral lists this ribosomal RNA (429 nucleotides) under Pseudomonadota bacterium. Its description in RNAcentral is "Proteobacteria bacterium partial 16S ribosomal RNA". It matches the Rfam family "Bacterial small subunit ribosomal RNA", at positions 355 to 776 of the family's 1533-position model. The record is from RNAcentral. Lineage: Bacteria; Pseudomonadati; Pseudomonadota.